AAUAGAUACCCGGUAGUCCACGCCGUAAACGAUGGAUACUAGUUGUUGGAGGACUCGACCCCUUCAGUGACGACGCUAACGCAUUAAGUAUCCCGCCUGGGGAGUACGGUCGCAAGAUUAAAACUCAAAGGAAUAGACGGGGACCCACACAAGCGGUGGAGCACCUGGCUUAAUUCGAUACUGAGCGAGGAACCUUACCUGGACUUGACAUCCCGAGAAUUCUCUAGAAAUAGGGAAGUGCCUUCUGGAACUCGGUGACAGGUGCUGCAUGGUUGUCGUCAGCUCGUGCCUUGAGGUGUUCGGUUAAGUCCGUAAACGAGCGCAACCCAUGUCCUGUGUUGUAUUUCUCACAGGAGACUGCCGAUUCAAAAUCGGAGGAAGGUAUGGAUGACGUCAAAUCAGCAUGGCCCUUAUGUCCAGGGCUGCACAGGUGCUACAAUGGAUGGUACAACGGGUAGCAAUGCCGCAAGGCGGAGCCAAUCCUUAAAGCCAUCCCAAGUUCGGAUUGGGGGCUGCACUCCGCCCUAUG
This 529-nucleotide ribosomal RNA is filed under the name uncultured bacterium. Its description in RNAcentral is "bacterial SSU rRNA". It matches the Rfam family "Bacterial small subunit ribosomal RNA", at positions 777 to 1322 of the family's 1533-position model. The record is from RNAcentral.